AGGGCUUUAUCUUAAUCUAAAGAGUCUGAGUUGCAUUCAGGAAAUGUGGGUUAAUGUCCCGCAAGUCCUA
Molecule: transfer RNA, 70 nt
Filed under: Rana macrocnemis (Iranian long-legged frog)
Lineage: Eukaryota; Metazoa; Chordata; Amphibia; Anura; Ranidae
Description: tRNA-Ala
Rfam family: tRNA
About the family: Transfer RNA (tRNA) molecules are approximately 80 nucleotides in length.
Source: RNAcentral